GCAUGUUUCUUCUAUUUUUUUUCCACAGGACCAAAGAUAGCUUCCUCACAUACGCAGCAGUGCAGCCCACGCUCGCGUCGUUCUUCCUCCGCUCGCUUCUGCGUCUCCUAAUCCUCUGCUUGCUGCCACGCCACGAACGUCUUUCGACAGCAGCAGGCUCAUCCAUCGUCGACCUGAGCAGCAGUCGUGUGCUGGUCUACGUUUCCAGCCACGACCCAAGCGGAUCGAAGCUCCCGGCAACAGCUUCGCUUUCUUGGACAGCACCGACGACCUCUCUCUGGAUUUCCCACUCUGUUUUGAUUUCAAUAUUGUCGAUGGAGAGUACGUGCUAGUACCGGCACCGGCAACAGAAGGUGGACAACAAGAGAGUAAUCUGACUGCUGUCGAGGUUGUUCAAGACCUGAAUCCCACUUCGGGAGACUUUUUCCCCGGCCCAACUCAAGAAGAUACUAACAUAGAGGAGAUGGUUGCUGGAAUAACUUGGCCAAGUCAUUUGCCACCUGGAUGGACGGUCGAGUGGGAUAUGACCUCCGCAGGAGAGGAUCAUGUGGAGUAGCUCGUGGUCGGCUUUGCCAUCCUACUUAUGUAUCAUUAGCUUAUCGUUAGCACGACGUUACCUUUAUUUCCGCUGCCAGUGAAACUUGGAACCAAUGGUUUAUGUUCAAACCUAUGUCUUGUAAUAAUAAUAAUCGUCCUUAAUA
Zea mays is the source of this 701-nucleotide RNA transcript. It is a transcript of the gene named protein-like pseudogene, with no coding region annotated. The record is from RefSeq and is marked validated. Lineage: Eukaryota; Viridiplantae; Streptophyta; Magnoliopsida; Poales; Poaceae. The transcript has 3 exons.